Long non-coding RNA from Micropterus dolomieu (smallmouth bass), 445 nucleotides. RefSeq lists it as uncharacterized. The record is from RefSeq and is a predicted model, not a curated record. NCBI's taxonomy places the organism in Eukaryota, Metazoa, Chordata, Actinopteri, Centrarchiformes, Centrarchidae. The transcript has 3 exons.
CAACUCCAAAGGUCCUGAAUCCAAGCCCCAAUUGUGUCAGUGCUGUUUUUGCAACACAAGGGGGACUGAAAUAAAAUAUGGCAGGCUUUUCCUAGUGAGUUAUCUGCUGACUGAGCUGUAGCUGUUAAGUCCUGGAAAUCCUAUGCGAUGGUCCACAUGGUCUAUGGAGGACAAAGUCUUUGUGGGCCACGUUCUUUCCCAGGAUGCAGUGCCAAAUGUGACUUAGCUUUCAGUCAAUUUAAUCACCCUAGUCAGAUUGCUGCAAUGGAUCCAUGCUGUCUCGCAGUGCCACCAUUUCCAGAUCUGAAAGAGGACUGUCCAGUUCAGGAAUAUGAAUGAGGCUCAUUUGUGUAGCCACUCUCCAAUGGAACAGUGUCGUCCUCGUCGCUGUCCAAGUUGGGUUGUGGCCAGGUAAUGCUCUGGAUCACGGUCUACAAGGGAUCAA